AGCGAACGCUGGCGGCAGGCUUAACACAUGCAAGUCGAGCGGGCAUCUUCGGAUGUCAGCGGCAGACGGGUGCGUAACACGUGGGAACGUACCCUUCGGUUCGGAACAACUCUGGGAAACUGGAGCUAAUACCGGAUACGCCCUUAUGGGGAAAGGUUUACUGCCGAAGGAUCGGCCCGCGUCUGAUUAGCUAGUUGGUGGGGUAACGGCCUACCAAGGCGACGAUCAGUAGCUGGUCUGAGAGGAUGAUCAGCCACACUGGGACUGAGACACGGCCCAGAAUACUACGGGAGGCAGCAGUGGGGAAUAGUGGACAAUGGGCGCAAGACUGAUCCAGCCAUGACGCGUGAGUGAUGAAGGCCUUAGGGUUGUAAAGCUCUUUUGUCCGGGACGAUAAUGACGGUACCGGAAGAAUAAGCCCCGGCUAACUUCGUG
Molecule: ribosomal RNA, 435 nt
Filed under: uncultured bacterium
Lineage: Bacteria
Description: partial 16S ribosomal RNA
Rfam family: Bacterial small subunit ribosomal RNA
Source: RNAcentral